ACGAAAACAAAAUGUUUCCCAACAAGAAUUGCGGUUUAUUAAUAAAAUUAAAUAAAGAUAAUUAUGAGUGAUAAGCACUUUAUUUGCUGUAAGUUCACAUCAACAGAUAGAACACACUUUAAAUAUAAAAAAGUGUUAAAUAUGUCACUUCAACUAUUGCUUGAACGUAUCGUUUUGUAUUCUUCAUGAAGAGCUCGUGGUAGUAUAUUGACUGUUGCUGAGAUGGAAAUGUGUUUACCAUUAUAUAUUUCAUUAUCAGUGAAGGACAUGAAAUGAAUAAAUUUAUCACAUCAUAUUUCAUUAUCAACAGCGUAAUAGAGACAAGUUUGUAUGGCAAUUUAAAUUAAAAUGAACUUAUGAAUGUAGAGGAAUGUUCGUCGCAACUAUCUAUUACUAUAAAUACGUAGUAAUAGAUGAAAUACUGGAAAUGGAUGAUUUCACUCCAGUGCUGAACAACCCUUCUCAAGUUAUAAAUGUUUCGAAAUCCGUCAUAAUAUACAGAUAAGUACUUACACAACAAUCUAAAGCAAUCAGGUCCGCGUUUCCGAAUAUACGAAAGAAAUGGAAACUUUGCAGAUUUCCAUUAUAUCCAGGGACGGACAAUCCGGGUUAAUGCAACAACCACAAACGUAAUUAAUAAAUCAAAUUGUAAAAAUAAGGAGAUAAUCUAGAGAUGUUAAUUAAGUAAAAGUUAUGCCUAGGCAUAUUUUAGAAAAAUAAACAGAAAGUGACCUAAAUAGAAUGAGAAGAAAUUAUAAAUCUCGUUACUUUUAUAAGAAACAUCGAAGAAUAAAUGUUACUAGUUUAAAAAGUAUUAAAAGUUCUGUUUUUAAAAUUAUGUUGAGGACAUUUAAU
Long non-coding RNA from Teleopsis dalmanni, 855 nucleotides. RefSeq lists it as uncharacterized. The transcript is spliced from 5 exons. Lineage: Eukaryota; Metazoa; Arthropoda; Insecta; Diptera; Diopsidae. The record is from RefSeq and is a predicted model, not a curated record.